GUGGGCCCUCGAAAUCCUGUGGCGGGAGGAUUCAGUCUGGAGCGGCGGGCGUGCGGGCCGGAAGACCAGCAGGGCGUCCCCGGAAGGGGGCCGUCCGGUCGCACGCGGUCCCUCCGCGCCAGACGCAUUUGUCUCCCGCCCUAAGGACGCCGCAGCCGGUUGGGUAGUUGCAAACGUGACGGCCUGAGGGCCGGGAAGCCGGCAGGUGGCCGGUGGCGCGCCCCGUGCGCGUCGCCGGUUGUUAGCCGUCCCGGCAGUGGCCCGUCACCCGACCGAGGUGUCGCGAGGUCCCCAGGACCUCACCGUCUCCUCCCCUCGGGGAAGCCGGGACAGAGCGCCGCAGGUGGCUAACGCCGUCCCGUUCGCACCCCCACGGGGUGGUCGGGCGCGCGUGCGCCUCCGUUCCGCGGUGCCGGACCCGUCGGAGGCCGGAGGCUAGCGGCGAGUAGGUCGGUCACCCACCCGACCCGUCUUGAAACACGGACCAAGGAGUCUAACAUGUGCGCGAGUCAAUGGGUCUUGAACAGGCCCAGGGGCGCAAUGAAAGCAAAGGUCGGCGCACGCCGACCGAGUUGGGAUCCCCGCCCCCGCGGGCGGGGCGCACCAACGACCCGUCCUAUCCGGCUCGCCGGUUGGGCGGAGUGUGAGCGUACACGUUGGGACCCGAAAGAUGGUGAACUAUGCCCGGACAGGACGAGGCCAGAGGAAACUCUGGUGGAGGUCCGCAGCGG
RNAcentral lists this ribosomal RNA (731 nucleotides) under Goeldia sp. 1 HMW-2012. RNAcentral's name for it is "eukaryotic LSU rRNA". The stretch from base 484 to 731 matches the Rfam family "Eukaryotic large subunit ribosomal RNA", at positions 665 to 883 of the family's 3401-position model. Lineage: Eukaryota; Metazoa; Arthropoda; Arachnida; Araneae; Titanoecidae. The record is from RNAcentral.